Molecule: ribosomal RNA, 400 nt
Filed under: uncultured bacterium
Lineage: Bacteria
Description: bacterial SSU rRNA
Rfam family: Bacterial small subunit ribosomal RNA
Source: RNAcentral
GGGGAAUCUUGGACAAUGGGGGAAACCCUGAUCCAGCCAUGCCGCGUGAUCGAUGAAGGCCUUAGGGUUGUAAAGAUCUUUCAGCUGGGAAGAUAAUGACUGUACCAGCAGAAGAAGCCCCGGCUAACUCCGUGCCAGCAGCCGCGGUAAUACGGAGGGGGCUAGCGUUGUUCGGAAUUACUGGGCGUAAAGCGCACGUAGGCGGAUCAGUCAGUCAGGGGUGAAAUCCCGGGGCUCAACCCCGGAACUGCCUUUGAUACUGCUGGUCUUGAGGUCGAGAGAGGUGAGUGGAAUUCCGAGUGUAGAGGUGAAAUUCGUAGAUAUUCGGAGGAACACCAGUGGCGAAGGCGGCUCACUGGCUCGAUACUGACGCUGAGGUGCGAAAGCGUGGGGAGCAAAC